CCAAUAGCGUAUAUUAAAGUUGUUGCAGUUAAAAAGCUCGUAGUUGAAUUUCGGGGUCAAUACGUCGGUCGUGCCUUCGGUACGUACUGGUGUUAUUGAUCUCUCCCUUCUGAUGAAUCACGAUGUCAUUAAUUUGGUGUCGUGGGGAGUCAGGACUGUUACUUUGAAAAAAUUAGAGUGUUUAAAGCAGGCUCACGCUUGAAUACAUUAGCAUGGAAUAAUGAAAUAGGACGUUCGAUCCUAUUUUGUUGGUUUCUAGGAUCAACGUAAUGAUUAAUAGGGAUAGUUGGGGGCAUUAGUAUUCAAUUGUCAGAGGUGAAAUUCUUGGAUUUAUUGAAGACUAACUACUGCGAAAGCAUUUGCCAAGGAUGUUUUCAUUAAUCAAGAACGAAAGUUAGGGGAUCGAAGACGAUCAGAUACCGUCGUAGUCUUAACCAUAAACUAUGCCGACUAGGGAUCGGAUGAUGUUAAUUUUUUAAUGACUCAUUCGGCGCCUUACG
This 500-nucleotide ribosomal RNA is filed under the name uncultured Glomeromycotina. RNAcentral's name for it is "partial small subunit ribosomal RNA". It matches the Rfam family "Eukaryotic small subunit ribosomal RNA", at positions 591 to 1092 of the family's 1831-position model. Lineage: Eukaryota; Fungi; Glomeromycota. The record is from RNAcentral.